Molecule: ribosomal RNA, 254 nt
Filed under: uncultured bacterium
Lineage: Bacteria
Description: partial 16S ribosomal RNA
Rfam family: Bacterial small subunit ribosomal RNA
Source: RNAcentral
UACGGGGGGAGCAAGCGUUGUUCGGAUUUACUGGGCGUAAAGGGCGCGUAGGCGGCUUUGACAAUUCAGUUGUGAAAUCUCCGGGCUUAACCCGGAACGGUCAACUGAUACUGUCGAGCUAGAGUGCAGAAGGGGCAACUGGAAUUCUCGGUGUAGCGGUGAAAUGCGUAGAUAUCGAGAGGAACACCUGCGGCGAAGGCGGGUUGCUGGGCUGACACUGACGCUGAGGCGCGAAAGCUAGGGGAGCGAACGGG